This 91-nucleotide small nucleolar RNA is filed under the name Cavia porcellus (domestic guinea pig). RNAcentral describes it as "Small nucleolar RNA U13". It matches the Rfam family "Small nucleolar RNA U13". Lineage: Eukaryota; Metazoa; Chordata; Mammalia; Rodentia; Caviidae. The record is from Rfam by way of RNAcentral.
AGUCUUUGGUUCAUGAGCGUGAUGACUGUGCGUGCUGCAUGCAUGAGAUGUGCCUCUCUCAAACCUUGUUAAGACGUCAGCUCAACUGACA